RNAcentral lists this long non-coding RNA (1930 nucleotides) under Cavia porcellus (domestic guinea pig). RNAcentral describes it as "lncRNA (ENSCPOG00000031569.1)". Lineage: Eukaryota; Metazoa; Chordata; Mammalia; Rodentia; Caviidae. The record is from RNAcentral.
GCACCUCUGCAGCCAGCGCCCGCCCGCGCCCCCAGGCCGGCACGCUCGGCCCCGCGCCCGCGCAGCUCCAGCGCCCUCCCCGCAGCGCCCACUGCACGCCGGGGCUCCAGCUCCCCGCGCCGCGCUCCCUCCCGCUCGCCGCAGCCAGGCUCCGCCCCGAGCCGCGACCUGGCGCCUGCUGACCCCGCUGGUCCCGCGCUGCACCCGCGCGCGUGGCGGUAGUGGCUGUGCGCGGCUCUGCGGGAGCGGCGCCCCAGCUUCCUUUCAGCGCGGUGCUGGUGCAGGCAGGCACAGGUAAAGGUGCCCUGCAGCCCUUCACCCCCCGGCCGGCGGGACCCUGGGCUGGGCGGCAGAAGGAGCACAGGAGCAGGCGGUGGGGGGAGGCAGUGGAAUCGGAGACCGGCCCUGGGAGGGCCCUGAGGCGGCGCGGGCACCGUCUCCACCGGCUGCUCUUACCCCGGCGGGAAGGUGGCUUUGGCAGGCUGGGCUGGGAAUUCCGACGGCGGAUUCUAGGUCCCAGGAAGUUUCUCAACUCGAGGCCUCUGGCAAAUAGCUGAACCUCUUUGAACUUUCAGGGUUCUGUAUGCGGAAUGCAAGGGUUAGACGUGAGAACAGGGCUUCCACCACGCUGGGACUCCACAUGUCCUCCCCAGGCCAGUAUUACACCUGCAUUUACAGGCUUCCGGCCUGUGGCUUCCACAUGGAGAAAGGAAGAGUGAUUCUUGUCUACAUGCAAACUGGCAAAGCUGUUGUCAGUUGCAAUGAAGCGAUGGUGCCAGUACUCAUUUUGAGUGUUUUCAAAACUUUUCCCAUGGGAAAUAAGGUCUCAAAUUGUAAUACUUCAAACCCUGUUUCAUUUUGAAAAUUACCUAUUGAAUAAGAAAGAAAAUACAUGUAAAGACCAGAGGGCUAAGAUAUGUAGGUGCUGACUUAUUAUACAGUAGACACACUUUUAAAAGGAUAGGGUUUUCACAUACUGUGCCUCAGGCAAAAUGGUGUUGCAAGCGUUCUACUCUGGCUCUCCAACCUGCUGGCUAGAGUUUAUCGCACCUCCCCAACUGCAUAGACCAAUUCCUCUUUUCUUUUUAAAAAUUUCUCUCCCUUUCUUGUUUUCUGUAAAUAUACCCUCCCCCCCACACUCCUUAAAGCAUCACAAUUUUAAAAAUAUUAAAAGCAAACUUUUCCAACCCUUAUAUGCAUUGAACCUCAACCGAAUAUUUCUUGCCCAGUAGCCCUGUUCUUUGGUUUUUUAGACAAUUCUAAUUGCUUUAAGGUUGUUUUCUCCUCUUUUUGGUUUGCUUCAUAUAGUGAGUUCAACGUGCCUCUCAAUAACUUCUAGCCAUUAGGCCGAAUUUUUGUACCUGGGAGUCAUGCAGGCUUUUUGCACAUAGUUACACAUUUCCCUUGCCUAAUUCACCUUUGCUUGAAUAAUUUGUGUAGCAUAAUCACUUUAAAAUAUUAAAGGACUUUGCGUUUGUGUUCCCCACAGUUCUGCAUGUCCCUUGUCUUUCCUCCAUAUGACAUUCAUGCUUCCUGCACCAGAGAUGGGAAAAAAGCACCAUGAAGAGGAUGCAGUCGAUUCUGUGUUCUUGGGAAGAUCAGGGCAGAGCAGAAAGAGCACUGCAUUAAAAGCAUCAGCCCUACAGCAAUGAAGGACAGCACAUUAGGUCUUAUGUGUCUGGUGACCAGGACCAGGAAGUACAAUGGGUCCCUCAGGAAUGCAGCUUGGAUGGGUAACACCUUAGGGUUAGAUGGAUCGCAGGCCCCACAAUGCCGUAGAAACAAUGAGAGCAAGAAAUGGGAGCUAGAAUUGAACUAGAUUAGGUCUCUUCUACUCAUUGGGGCCGUGAAACACAGUUUUAGUUGAGUUCACAGAAAUUUCUGGUAAGAUUUGUUGUCUGAGCAUGUAGAAUGAGUUCCACAUUAGUUC